RNAcentral lists this ribosomal RNA (487 nucleotides) under uncultured bacterium. RNAcentral's name for it is "bacterial SSU rRNA". It matches the Rfam family "Bacterial small subunit ribosomal RNA", at positions 30 to 510 of the family's 1533-position model. The record is from RNAcentral.
AUUGAACGCUGGCGGAAUGCUUUACACAUGCAAGUCGAACGGCAGCACGGACUUCGGUCUGGUGGCGAGUGGCGAACGGGUGAGUAAUAUAUCGGAACGUGCCCAGUCGUGGGGGAUAACGUAGCGAAAGUUACGCUAAUACCGCAUACGAUCUACGGAUGAAAGCGGGGGACCGUAAGGCCUCGCGCGAUUGGAGCGGCCGAUGUUAGAUUAGGUAGUUGGUGGGGUAAAGGCUCACCAAGCCGACGAUCUAUAGCUGGUCUGAGAGGAUGAUCAGCCACACUGGGACUGAGACACGGCCCAGACUCCUACGGGAGGCAGCAGUGGGGAAUUUUGGACAAUGGGCGCAAGCCUGAUCCAGCCAUUCCGCGUGCAGGACGAAGGCCUUCGGGUUGUAAACUGCUUUUGUACAGAACGAAAAGCUCUGGGUUAAUACCCUGGGGUCAUGACGGUACUGUAAGAAUAAGCACCGGCUAACUACGUGAAG